RNAcentral lists this ribosomal RNA (495 nucleotides) under uncultured bacterium. RNAcentral describes it as "partial 16S ribosomal RNA". It matches the Rfam family "Bacterial small subunit ribosomal RNA", at positions 30 to 507 of the family's 1533-position model. The record is from RNAcentral.
UGACCGCUGGCGGCGUGCCUAAUACAUGCACGUCGAGCGAACAGACGAGGAGCUUGCUCCUCUGACGUUAACGGCGGACGGGUGAGUAACACGUGGAUAACCUACCUAUAAGACUGGGAUAACUUCGGGAAACCGGAGCUAAUACCGGAUAAUAUAUUGAACCGCAUGGUUCAAUAGUGAAAGACGGUUUUGCUGUCACUUAUAGAUGGAUCCGCGCCGCAUUAGCUAGUUGGUAAGGUAACGGCUUACCAAGGCGACGAUGCGUAGCCGACCUGAGAGGGUGAUCGGCCACACUGGAACUGAGACACGGUCCAGACUCCUACGGGAGGCAGCAGUAGGGAAUCUUCCGCAAUGGGCGAAAGCCUGACGGAGCAACGCCGCGUGAGUGAUGAAGGUCUUCGGAUCGUAAAACUCUGUUAUUAGGGAAGAACAAAUGUGUAAGUAACUAUGCACGUCUUGACGGUACCUAAUCAGAAAGCCACGGCUAACUACGUG